AUGGGUAGGAUCUAGAGAAAUCAGGACAGAUAUUGGAAUACGCUGGGGCUGGCCAACAAGGAGACACUUCCUCUGGUCCUAAAUGGACAGGACAGAAAGCCCUUAUUAGUCCUUGCAGAGGGAGAAUUCCUGGGGAAGACCUCCUAAUAGGAGCUGCGGCCAGUCUGUGGUGACACUUCUUUCUUUGAUCCCCUGUUGAUUUUCUUUAGCUAAACCCCAAGGGAUGCCAGAAGUAACGGCGUUAUAGUCAGUUACCUGAUGAAUAGACGUGAUGUUUGCCACUUCUGGAUGAAGCCUUUCGAAGAAUAAGAAUUCUUCCUCCAUUCUCUGUUCGACUGGCUGGAUGCAGAUGAUAAGAAGGCCACAGAGAAGCCACAGGAUGGAAGGAACUUUGGUUCCUGAAUCAGUGCAUGUAGAAAAGCUGCCUGCUGACCUGAACAGCUGUUCUGAACUGUUAUAUAAACAAGAAAUAAACUUCUGUUGUAUUUAAGCCACUACAUAUUUGCAUCUGUUUGAUUCAGCAGUUUAUUUAGCCUACCCAAAGUAAUACAGAUGCCAUUAGAAUUUUAAUCUCAAAUACUUAAAUUAUUUAUUAUAUGUUUACAACCCUUAUGUGGUAAGCAGGGCAGGCACCUAUUUUAUAGGCAAAACAGUGAGGAAUAUGGAGAUUCAUAAAUUCUUUCAACAAAUACUUAUUGACCAUUAGGGAAAUUUGUUGCAAACAAUUUAUUAAAUCAUUAUUUUAUGAGAGCAUUCAUUCUUUCAUUCAUUUUAUAAAUAUUUACUCAGGGCUUUCAAUGUGUCCUUCAGGAGCUCACAGUCUAGUAUAAAAGACAAAUACUAAAUUUAAAAAUUAAGGACAUAAAUUG
This is a long non-coding RNA of Bos taurus (domestic cattle), 869 nucleotides long. The record is from Ensembl. NCBI's taxonomy places the organism in Eukaryota, Metazoa, Chordata, Mammalia, Artiodactyla, Bovidae.